GUUCCUCCUGCCAAUUGUGAUUUGGCUGUUUGCCAAGUGGGACGGGAGAGUGUGUAAAAAAACUACGUUAAAGAAAAACGAAAGAUUUCACUUUCGCCAUCCAAUGAUCUCUCAUAGAAUAGAGAGUGAGAGACACAACUAUGUGUGUUUCAAAGGAACCGGUCAGGAAGAUCCGGUAGGGUAAAAAAAAAAAAAAAAACACUUUUAUUUUUCCCGCUUUUGCCAUUACUAUCGAAUAAUGGGCACGGACGAGAGAGUCGUACACGCCCGAGAGUUUCCACACUUGGGCCAAAAUUGUCAAGGAUGUGAAAGGAGACCUUGUCGGUUUCUACUUUUUAUUUUUUCUGCACAAAAAUUGGUGUUUUGUGAUACAUGAAGUUAACGGUCAAAUUUUACUGUUCGGAUUCAUCUUACACACGGCAGAAAAUUUCGAUUGGAAGAAUAGAUUUUAGAACAGAUCCUGUCUGCCUGGAGAGGUCAAUGCCGUUUACUUCCUAUAAGGAUAUGUAGACCGGAUCUAGCCGAAAACAAAAACAACUCUCCUUUUGAUUUGUCACGGCCGCAGUUGCGCGACCGUGUUUCUGAAUGGCGUAAAGUGGCCAUGGAGGACCCCUUUCUUUUGGUAACACACAAAAGGAGUGGUACUAGAACAGGAUUUAGCUAUCCCUUCCAGCUCGUGAAACCGUUUUCUGAUCUUUAGGUCAAUGGCAAGUCCGUUUUAAAAUUGAACAGAUAUUCUAAAUUCGAUUUUCUUUUGUGUAAAAUGAACGCAUAGACGAGCGAACACGUACGGAAUCCGAUCCGCGAGGACCUUUCAGCCUACAGGUGUUUCGAACAAAGAUGGAAUACCCGCCAAAAUAUAUCAAUAAGGAAACCAGCCGAUCAUUAGACGAAAUGCUUAACUUUGAAUUUAGCUCCAAGGUUUACGAUGAGCUUUAAGUUGGAUCAUUUGUUUACCCAGUUUCGUCUUCAAGGUGACAUUUAAAAGGUUUCUGUUGACUGAUGAGUGAAAAACAAUAAAUCAGGUGUGUGGGGACUAGACACAAUUGGCUUGUUGUUUUCCCCCCAGGAAGAAGGAAAGGUCGUAAACAAAUCUCAG
Molecule: long non-coding RNA, 1099 nt
Organism: Daphnia magna
Lineage: Eukaryota; Metazoa; Arthropoda; Branchiopoda; Diplostraca; Daphniidae
Exons: 2
Source: RefSeq, a predicted model, not a curated record